RNAcentral lists this ribosomal RNA (253 nucleotides) under uncultured bacterium. Its description in RNAcentral is "partial 16S ribosomal RNA". It matches the Rfam family "Bacterial small subunit ribosomal RNA", at positions 524 to 776 of the family's 1533-position model. The record is from RNAcentral.
UACGUAGGUGGCAAGCGUUGUCCGGAUUUACUGGGCGUAAAGAGCGCGCAGGCGGUCGUUUUAGUCGCGUGUGAAAGCCCCCGGCUCAACUGGGGAGGGUCACGCGAUACUGGUCGACUCGAAGGCAGGAGAGGGUAGUGGAAUUCCCGGUGUAGUGGUGAAAUGCGUAGAUAUCGGGAGGAACACCAGUGGCGAAGGCGACUACCUGGCCUGUUCUUGACGCUGAGGCGCGAAAGCUAGGGGAGCAAACGGG